UGGGGAAUAUUGGACAAUGGGCGAAAGCCUGAUCCAGCCAUGCCGCGUGUGUGAAGAAGGCCUUUUGGUUGUAAAGCACUUUAAGUGGGGAGGAAAAGCUUAUGGUUAAUACCCAUAAGCCCUGACGUUACCCACAGAAUAAGCACCGGCUAACUCCGUGCCAGCAGCCGCGGUAAUACGGAGGGUGCGAGCGUUAAUCGGAAUAACUGGGCGUAAAGGGCACGCAGGCGGUUAUUUAAGUGAGGUGUGAAAGCCCCGGGCUUAACCUGGGAAUUGCAUUUCAGACUGGGUAACUAGAGUACUUUAGGGAGGGGUAGAAUUCCACGUGUAGCGGUGAAAUGCGUAGAGAUGUGGAGGAAUACCGAAGGCGAAGGCAGCCCCUUGGGAAUGUACUGACGCUCAUGUGCGAAAGCGUGGGGAGCAAACAGGAUUAGAUACCCUGGUAGUCCACGCUGUAAACGCUGUCGAUUUGGGGAUUGGGCUUAAAGCUUGGUGCCCGUAGCUAACGUGAUAAAUCGACCGCCUGGGGAGUACGGCCGCAAGGUUA
This 547-nucleotide ribosomal RNA is filed under the name uncultured bacterium. RNAcentral's name for it is "bacterial SSU rRNA". It matches the Rfam family "Bacterial small subunit ribosomal RNA", at positions 355 to 896 of the family's 1533-position model. The record is from RNAcentral.